ACCGUGAACGUCCGCCGUGAACCGGGGGUCGGUCCUGCGAUCUUGGUGAAUAGGACCACCUCGUUUUCUCAUCUCCAAAGUGGGGCUAACUUGACGUAGAUAGACUUGAAGAUACGAUCCACUUAUAUUUGCAAGAAUGCACCCCAGCUCAGAAGUGUUGGCGACAUCGGGGAGGGGUGCAGGUUUGGAAAAGGUUUUCCCAUUUUACUCUAGGAAGCCAUUCUUCAGGCCUUGGCAUGAAGCUGUUGAGCAGUCUGGAUCGUUCCACAGCCCGCCCGAGAAGAGCGCCUCUUUGGUUUAAUUGACCUUGAGCCACCCUCGAGUCCAUUCUCGGAGUCUGGAGCCAGGAGGACCCCAUCUGCUCUGCAGCCUGCCAGGGACCUGUCAUCAGCAGCUGACUCUAUUCCCUGGCUGUGGCCCCAGAUUACUAGGGAUCUGAACACCAAGAGGGGCUAGUCGCUGCCCACUGACGGAUGACUGAGAACAGGUGGGUCCUGAACGCCAGCCAGAGCCUAUUUGUGGUGAGGCAAAGCCAAUCCAAGCCAAGAUUCUGGAAACACUCAAGAGAACAUUCCUACCUCCAUUUCUAUCUGCUGGGAAGGCUGGGCACAGGAAACAGGCAGAACAAGGAAGGAAUUCUGGUUGUGGCUCACCGCAUCUGGGGCUGAUCUACACUGGAUCUCCUUAAACCCUGUCCCUCUUCCCCACCAUGUCUCCUACCCUCCAGGAUCUUGAGAAGAUUCCAACCAAGCACCUCCUUUGAGUCCUUGACAAGACAGCUAAAGUGAGAAGACAGCUAUUUAACGCCUUUUUUCAAUAGCUUUUCAUUAUAUUUAGAAUAAAAUAAAACAUAAAUUCUUUUUGUUUGUUUAU
This 873-nucleotide long non-coding RNA is filed under the name Urocitellus parryii (Arctic ground squirrel). RNAcentral describes it as "lncRNA (ENSUPAG00010002292.1)". The record is from RNAcentral. Lineage: Eukaryota; Metazoa; Chordata; Mammalia; Rodentia; Sciuridae.